UCCCAAUGAAGUCAGCCUCCGGAUGACUUCUGACGAGGUCGGUCUCCGGAUGACUUCGUGAGAUCGACCUUCGGAUGACUUCGUGAGGUUGGUCUUCUUGUGAUGAUGUCGGCCUCCUCGUGAGGUCAGCUUCUAGAUGACUUCAUGAAGUCGGCCUCCUUGUGAGGUCAGCCUCCAGAUGACUUCGUGAGGUUGGCCUCCUUGUGAUGAUGUUGGCCUUCGAAUGACUUCAUGAGGUUGGCUUCCUUGUGAGGUUAGCCUUCGAAUGACUUCGUGAGGUCGGCCUUCAGAUGACUUUGUGAGGUUGGCCUCUUUGUGAUGAUGUCGGUCUCUUCGUGAGAUCGACUUCCGGAUGACUUCAUGAGGUCGGCCUCCUUGUGAUGAUGUCGGCCUCCUUGUGAUGAUGUCAACCUCCAAAUGAUUUCGUGAGAUCAACCUCCUUGUGAUGAUGUCGGUCUCCUUAUGAGGUUGGCUUUCAGAUUAUUUUGUGAAGUCGGCCUCCUUGUGAGGUCGGUCUCCGAAUGACUUCGUGAGGUCGGACUUCGAAUGACUUUGUGAGGUUGGCCUCGUGAGGUCGGCUUUCGGAUGAUUUCGUGAGAUUAGCCUCAUGAGAUCGGCCUCCAAAUGACUUUGUGAGGUUGGCGUCCUUGUAAUGAUAUUGGCCUCCUGGUGAGGUCGGCCUCCAGAUGACUUCGUGAGAUAGACCUCCUCGUGAGGUCAGUCUUCGAAUGACUUCACGAGAUCGGCCUCCAGAUAAUUUUGUGAGGUCGGCCUCCUUGUGAUAAGAUCGGCUUUCUCGUGAGGUUGGUCUCCGGAUGACUUCUUGAGGUCGUCCUUCGGAUGACUUCGUGAGGUCAAUCUCCUUGUGAUGAUGUCGGCCUCCUCGUGAGGUCGGUCUUCGGAUGACUUCGUGAGGUCGGCCUCCUUGUGAUGAUGUCGGCCUCCUCGUGAGAUCGACCUUCAGAUGACUUCGUGAGGUCGGUCUUCGGAUGACUUCAUGAGGUCGGCCUCCUUAUAAGGUCGGCUUUCGGAUGACUUCGUGUGGUUGGCCUCGUGAGGUCGGCCUCCGGAUAACUUCGUGAAGUUGGCCUCCUUGUGAUGAUGUUGGCCUCUUCGUGAGGUCGGCCUUCGGAUGAUUUCGUGAGGCCAGCCUUCGAAUGAUUUCGUGAGGUCGGUCUCCUUGUGAGGUCGGCCUCCGAAUGACUUCAUGAGAUCAGCCUUCUUGUGAUGAUGUCGGCCUCCUCAUGAGGUCGUUCUCUGAAUAACUUCUGAGGUCGGUGAUA
This 1283-nucleotide long non-coding RNA is filed under the name Elaeis guineensis (African oil palm). RNAcentral describes it as "long non-coding RNA (EGUI_LNC036767)". The record is from RNAcentral. Lineage: Eukaryota; Viridiplantae; Streptophyta; Magnoliopsida; Arecales; Arecaceae.